AAGACUGUACCAUCAGGGAUCAUUUUUAUAGUUCAUUACCAGAGAAGUUUCUCUGAAUGUGUAAGUACCACAUAAGCACAUAUGGCUGGACCAC
This 94-nucleotide small nucleolar RNA is filed under the name Otolemur garnettii (small-eared galago). RNAcentral describes it as "Small nucleolar RNA U3 (ENSOGAG00000022946.1)". Lineage: Eukaryota; Metazoa; Chordata; Mammalia; Primates; Galagidae. The record is from RNAcentral.